GUUGAUAGGCAAGAAAUUUUGCACGGCAAGAUUAAUGUUGGGGUUCGAUCCAAUGGGUCACGAUACAUAUGCAUAUCACAUAAAGGUGUUUGGUGGAACACGUGAACAAGUGGUGAAUGUUUCCAAGUGACGUCACAUUGCGACAUCUUUACCUGUCUACCUAGAGCUAGUUCAUUCUGGUGAGCAACUAGCAAUAAUACACUUUUACCAACAUAUUUGUCAUGACGAGAGAGGUUCCAGAUUUCUUCGUCCUAACAAGGAUUUAUUGUCAUCGACACUUAAUUUGGUACAUUUCAUAUGAAUUUACCUUAUAAAUGUAUUGGUGAAAACAAUGCUCAGUGGAUCAUAUUAUUCAAGACAGCAUUCUCACAGAAGCAUGCUAAUAUCACACAGAGAAUAUCAACAACUAACUUUUUAAAAUAUAUCUAUAUAUAAGGGCAUUGCCAGCUAGACUUGGCAUCCUUUGGAGUCUGUUUUGGUACAGUGUAUAAAACCCGCGGUACUGGCCUCAGACUGCAUAUCUCUCUUAGACUGCUGAUCCACCUGCAGUCCUGCACUCAGUUCAUCAUGAAAGUGUUGUUCCUCCUCGUUGCUGUGCUGGCAGCCCUGAUGGCUCUGACUCAAGUUGUCUCCGGGAUGCCCUCUGCUAAGCCUGACCCUGAGCCUAAGGCUGGGCCUAAUCCUGAGCCUAAGCCUGAUCGUUACUACUUUCAACCCUCCCUAUUCAACAAAAGACGGCAUCGUCGUCCUUAGUUCUGAGCGGUCGGUCGCCAUCUUCGUCCUGGACACCCAUGUCGGAUUGUGUUGAUAAUCGCAUCACCGGGUCACAGAAGCUGCUCCCAAUGGCGUCCACCUGUCCCUUUUUUGUUGGGAUGUGGACGUAGUUAUUUAGUUUUAUCUACUCUCAUAUUUAUGUCACUUGUCUUUAGCGUUCUUCCCUAGUCAUGUAUGUGUUAGAAUUAUACAAACAAGAAUUCAAUAAAUGAAUUCAUUAUAUUACAA
This is a long non-coding RNA of Portunus trituberculatus (swimming crab), 1002 nucleotides long. RefSeq lists it as uncharacterized. The transcript is spliced from 2 exons. The record is from RefSeq and is a predicted model, not a curated record. Lineage: Eukaryota; Metazoa; Arthropoda; Malacostraca; Decapoda; Portunidae.